Molecule: long non-coding RNA, 583 nt
Organism: Daphnia carinata
Lineage: Eukaryota; Metazoa; Arthropoda; Branchiopoda; Diplostraca; Daphniidae
Exons: 3
Source: RefSeq, a predicted model, not a curated record
UAUGGCGCCGUCGAUCAACGUCGAUAGCUUUAUCUUCGUCUGCAACGGAUAGGACCACGUGCAUCAUUGCAUAGCCUCGUCGUGAAGUGGUCAAGCCUGUCUACAGCGAUCGGCAAAACGACAUUAUUACAACUAGCAGUUGAUCAUUUCAGGCUUUGUUAAGUGGAAAGUGAAAGAAACGGAGAAAUUUCUAAAGUUAUAGUCGACAAGUGAAUGAUGCUGCAAGACGAUCCGCUAUUUGCCAUGUCGUCACCUAGUGACUGGCUUGAAAGGACAAUCCACAGCUCUCACCUUCCCUCCGACUAGACAUCAUGAAACGUGAGCCGUGACAAAGUGAUUUUGUUUAGCCGGAAAGUUGUUGAAUUUCAUGCAAAGGAGCAGAAAGAAAGUUGUGUGGCUGUUGAGACCGAGUAAAAGUGGUGGCUGCUGCGGUCAUACGGAGAUCAACGUGUUCAGCAAAUGAUCAGCCUCGAGGAGGAAAAAGGAUAUCCAUCACAUCCGUUCCCAUCCAUGCGUUAUCCAUUUCGCGUGUGCCUCUAAAUAAACAUAGCCUCCGACAUAGCACGGCACUAAAAAAAAAAAA